RNAcentral lists this ribosomal RNA (275 nucleotides) under uncultured bacterium. RNAcentral describes it as "partial 16S ribosomal RNA". It matches the Rfam family "Bacterial small subunit ribosomal RNA", at positions 338 to 627 of the family's 1533-position model. The record is from RNAcentral.
CCUACGGGGGGCAGCAGUUAGGAAUCUUGCGCAAUGGGCGAAAGCCUGACGCAGCGACGCCGCGUGAGUGAAGAAGGCCUUCGGGUUGUAAAGCUCUUUCGACGGGGAUGAAAAAAAUGACGGUACCCGUAUAAGAAGCACCGGCUAACUCUGUGCCAGCAGCCGCGGUAAUACAGAGGGUGCAAGCGUUAUUCGGAAUCACUGGGCGUAAAGUGCACGUAGGUGGCUUGGUAAGUUAGAUGUGAAAUCCCUCGACUCAAUCGAGGACCUGCAUC